GUUCGUUCUUCAGUGGCCUUCGACAUUGCAAUGAAAAUAUUUUUUUUGUCAUCAGUCUUCUUAAGAACUUGCUUUUUAGGCUUGAUCUCAUUCUUCUACUUCUUUAUGAACUUUUUCUUCUUCUUGAAAGAAGACUUUCUUUUGAAGGAAGUCCACUCCACAGCUAGAACUGUGCCCCUUGAACUCUUCAAGAUGCCUUCUGCAGUCACCAGCAUAUUCAAUAACUCUGACAAAGUAGCAUUGAUUUUAUUCAUAUGGUAGUUCAUGAUGAACUGUCCAUAUAAAUCAGGAAG
Molecule: long non-coding RNA, 293 nt
Filed under: Elaeis guineensis (African oil palm)
Lineage: Eukaryota; Viridiplantae; Streptophyta; Magnoliopsida; Arecales; Arecaceae
Description: long non-coding RNA (EGUI_LNC071759)
Source: RNAcentral